AGGGAGAAUUGUUGCCUUUUAGCAGAAUUAAUGAAAAAUUGCAAAAUCAGAAUUUCCUCUGUGAAAUGAGAUCAUAUCUUCCCUCUCAGAAGCAUCUUCUUCCACUAUUUUUCCUCACAACUUUCAUUCCAGAAGAACCAGAACAGCAUCCACAAACUCACCAAAUUGCUGAAACACAGUCAUUAGAGUUAGUUGCAACUCCACCAUCCUUUCUAAAAGAUAGCACCACAGAAAAUGUUGCUUCUAUUGAAGAAGUUUCCCCGAGCCUCAUUCCAACAUCAACCUUAUCUGUUGUCUCAGCAGACCAAGGCAGCCACAAAGGUCCCUCAUCUUCAGUAAAACGAAGUCUUGAGGAAGAACUGACAAAGACAACAAAACAUCCAAAGCUUGAUUGAACUUCGUAAUCAAGCAAAGAGAUGACAAAAAAUCUACUUUUGUUAGAAAUGCAAAAACACUGGUUAGGCAUGCAUAAGUUUUUGUUCAAACAACAACGUGAUUUUGUUCUUUCGGUGACAGACUAGAGCCUACGUGAUUUUCACCUCUCUGUCUAUCUUUGCAAUCACCAACAACUUAAUAUUACUUACAAAUUAUCGUAAUAUCUUUACAAACAUAAAUUACUUCGACCAAAACCAACAAAUAACAACCAAUUCAGUUAAUAUGGGCACCCCGCGUCGAACGCGGGGUCUCACCACCUAGUAUAGUGUAAUCCUUGCAAAGUGCAGUCCGUUGCUAGCAAAAUCAAACUAAGUUUAGAAGUUGCCCAUUAAAUUAUGUAGAAGUUUUACUAGAGUCAAGUUUUUGGUAGUUUUCCUACUGGGUAAUUUAUUAUGUAAUUAUUUGUAUGGUAAUUUCUUAUUUUUCAAGUAUCGUUAUAAAAAGACAGCUUGUAAGGAUAUUUGCCUAAUAGUCUUCAGCGAGUAGGGUAUUGGGUUCUUCCUUUGUUUGACAUUUUAGUGAAGUUGUUAGUGUGACAUGUGUUCAUUAUUUCUUUUCUAUCACAUCUAUUUUAUUUGAUUAUUUGAUUCCUUCUAUUCUAUAACUCUGCAAGUUAAUAUUAUUAGACUCAUACAAUAAAAAUUGGAGUUCUAUAAUUGGUGUCAUGAGUGAGUGUCUUAUGAGGUUUGUGUUGAGUACCUUCCACUGCCAGAGUUAGAGUACAAAAUUUGCUUAGAAGCAUUCAGUUGAUCGAGUAAGGCAGCAAGAUUAGUUUUGAAUUGUCAAAUUGUGAAGAUUAGACCAUAAAAAUAGUCCAAAAUUUGUCAGAUUAAUAAUGGUAUCAAGAUAGAACUCUUGUCAAAAUUUUUAAUAUCGCAGGUUAUCAAAUUGAAGGAUUUGAUUGAUUUUAUCAACUAGGGGGCCAGAAAUUUGACAAAAGAAUAGAGGAACCAAUUGUUCAGAUAAGUAAAUUGUAGAAUGAUGGAUGAAUGUUGGGUUUUAGUUAAUGGUGAAUCACAAAAAAAAAAGGUCAAGAAACAUCUUAUUAUUGGUUUUUAUAAUUUGAAAAUUAUCUCAAACAAUUUAAUUUAGAUGAGUUCUUUCUGGGUUGUUGCAAAUACGUUGUUGAAAAGAAUUCUAAAAAAUUGACAAUAUUAUUUUUUAAGUUAUGCAAAACAAUACUUGACUGUCUAACAAGAUUACUUUUUUCCAAUUAUUUUCUUUGUUAGAUUUUUUUAAGUAAUAAUCGAAAUCGAACCCAUUUAAACUUUCUUCUUACCAUAUAUAUAUAUAUAUAUAUAGUCUCGUGUCGUGUAGUAAUGAAGAAGAAGGAAUCAAAUAAGUUGGUGGUUUCAACUAGAAGUGGCAAAAUGGAUAUAUGGUUGAUAAAUGGUUUUAGUUAAAUGGAUAGUGGAUCAAAUUGAUCCAAUCCAAUUAAAACCAUUUAAUAAAUGGAUCUAAAUGGAUGUCAUUUAAAUGGAUAGUGUAAACCAUGAUCCAUCCAUUUAUCCAUUUACUCUCCCAAAUCCUAAAUUUAAGAUCCAAAUGCUUUUUUUCAAAAAAUACAGAUCCCCAAAGUUCUAUUCUUAAAUCACCUAAAACCUUUUGGUAAUAACAAAUGCUUGUACUACUACUCUAUUUCAGUUCUUCAUAAAAUUAGUUUAGUUCCAAGAAAAUUUAACUGCUGUGGUCAAUUUAACCUUUCGUCAUUACUUUAAAUAUCAUUUUGUAAAGUAAUGAACAAUUAAGAACUUGGCUAUAUUUUUAUAACUUUUGAAUGAAUUGAAUACGGCUUUACAGUGAAAAGAAGUUUACGUUUCCAAUUUUUUGCACUCCUGUUCAAGAGUGAUGUCUUGAAUAAAAGUGGAGUUCUAAUAAAAAAUCUUAUGUUAUUUGACAAGUAAAAUAUUUUCAUUACAUGUGCACGUAGUACCUAAAAAUGUAUGAAACUCCUUAUUAUACCAUUGAUAUACAAGCUACCUUAUAUUACUUAGUAAAUUAGGUGUCUUUUUUUUUUUGGAUAGUUGGAUUGGGUGAUAAGGGGAGAGGGAUUGCAAGUAUGAGAAUUUGGAAAAAAAAAAAAAAGUGUCAUUUACAUAUCUUAACCAAUGUUGUGGGGACACUCGUUAGAAAAAUUCUUUUUAUAAAUAAAAGAAUUAAAAAAAUAAAAAUUAUUUUGACACUGCAUGAUGCAUUCUCGCUUUUUUUUACUUAAGAAUAUAAAUGUUUGCAAUCAUUACUACAUGAGAGUUUAAUUAAAAAAAAAACAAGAGUAGAUAUUAAAUUAUAAUUUUGAAAAGGAUGGAAGAAGUCUAGGAACUAGAAGCAAACAAAAUGCAAUUAAUGUUAUUGGCAACUUGGCAUGUGAGGAAGUUAUGAAGGAAAGAAUAGGUGGUCCCACAAAAUUAUUUUGACAUAUGAGGAAGUUAUGAAGAAAAGAAUAGAUAGUCCCACAAGAUUUUAUCUCAUAUUUUUAUAAAUGUGUUUUCUAUUUUUUUAAGUUAAAUGGAUGUAUAUGGAUAAGAUGGAUAAUCCAUCUAAAUCCACCAACAUAAUUGGAUUUAAAUGGUUAUCCAUUUAAAACCAUUGAAUUUAUAUGGAUAAUCCAAAUCCAUUUAAGGUUGGUUUAUAUGGAUGGAUUGGUGGAUAUGAAUCCAUUUUGCCACUUCUAGUUUCAACUUUCAACCGUAUUGCUGGUUUCAGCGUCGUGCAAAGAAGUGGGUCCAUUGAGGGUUAAAUUCGCACAUGCCGGCUGAUACUUAUUUUUACUCUUUAAAAUAUCCAUACAAUUUUCCCGACAAAUGAUAUUUCCAGAACACCAUUUUUUGCAGUAUAUUUCUUUCCACAUGAUGGUAAUUAUGUCUUUUACUAGUCAAAGGGUGGACUCAUUUUAAAAAGGGUAGAAAGAGUGAUAUGGCAUUAUUACUGGCUGUUUUCCCUAAUACCAUAAUGUUAAAUAUUAAUAUUAAUACGCAUUUACAAUUUGACACAAGAAAUUUAUAUCUUUUUGGUUGCUUUGUGCUUCUUUUGCCACAAAACCAUGCAUGUUUGGCACUAGACUACUGAGGAAUAAUUUCAGAAACCUCCUUAAAGUAUUUUAACAAUUUCAAGAAACUCCCUUCUAAUUUCUAAUGUUAUACACACCUCCCUUCGGUGUGCAAAAGUACUCCGAUGCCCCCACCCCAUUAUGUUUACAAAAGGAAAUAAAAAGUAAAAAUGAAAAUCAUCACCUUUACUUAUUUUUUUGCCAGCAACGAUACAUUGUAUAACCUACUCUAUCCUAAUCUAGGAGAUGAGGAGCCUAAGGAGGCUUGUGUGUUAGGGGUUAGUGGAUAUAUAGAUCUAAUUAGACCAAAUGAGUGCUAUAGCACUACUCUUAGAUUUUUUUUUUUUUUUUGUGUGCUGUAGGUGAGGUUUGAACCCACACUACUCUGAUGGCCUAUGAGCUAAUGACAAUCAUCACCCUUACGUCCCUCUUUCCUUUAUCCUCAUGACCAAAUUGUCAAAAAUUUCCCCCUAUUUCUCUCGCCCCUUUUCUCUUCCCUAUCCUUUACCUAACACCCUCCUAGAAGUCAUAGUGUUCGCUUACCAUCGCACCUUAGAGCGCGCAGUCAGUGUUUACUACCUUUCCUCCUUCAAUCCCCUCUCUUUAUGGUCCUCCACCUUCAUCCCUUCCCUCCAUCGAUCUUCAUUAAUAUACUCGGGUCAUUUGGUUUUUUCUUUUUUCUUUUUCUUCUUUUCUUUUGUGAUUAUAUGGCCUAUUAGAAUUCUUUUUAAUGUAUCUUUUAUAGUAAGUGAGAGGUUUUAAACCAAAAAUCUCCUACUUGUCACCCUUCCGUUUUAUUAUCCAGUCCAACCCUUCCCCAGUGAGAUGAUAGAACUAGAUAUAUUUGUCUCAUAUGCAUACACUUUAGUCGCGUAAUCAUUGUUGUUCUAUUAAUUUUUUUUUUUGUGUUAAAUGGCUCUAUUAUUUUUAUUAUCAAGUCGUGUUCAAGAAUUUGUUGAACCAAAACCUACUAAUUAUAGCAAGUUUCAAGAUAUAUACAAAUGUUACAGCAAGUUUCAAGAUAUAUACAAAUGUGACUUAAGUACCUUGUUUUUCUAAGGCUUCCAGCCUUGGCUGAG
Molecule: long non-coding RNA, 4560 nt
Filed under: Coffea arabica (coffee)
Lineage: Eukaryota; Viridiplantae; Streptophyta; Magnoliopsida; Gentianales; Rubiaceae
Description: long non-coding RNA (CARA_LNC002163)
Source: RNAcentral